CGUAGGGUGCGAGCGUUGCCCGGAUUUAUUGGGCGUAAAGGGCGCGUAGGCGGCUCAGCACGUCCGUUGUGAAAUCGCCCGGCUCAACUGGGCGGGGUCAGCGGAUACGGUCGAGCUUGAGCAAGCUAGGGGGUAAUGGAAUUCCCGGUGUAGUGGUGGAAUGCGUAGAUAUCGGGAGGAACACCAGUGGCGAAGGCGGUUACCUGGGGCUUUGCUGACGCUGAUGCGCGAAAGCGUGGGGAGCGAUCCGGAUUAGAUACCCGGGUAGUCCACGCCGUAAACGAUGCGGACUAGGUGUCGGGGGUAUCGACCCCCUCGGCGCCGCAGCUAACGCAUUAAGUCCGCCGCCUGGGGACUACGGCCGCAAGGCUA
RNAcentral lists this ribosomal RNA (372 nucleotides) under uncultured organism. Its description in RNAcentral is "bacterial SSU rRNA". It matches the Rfam family "Bacterial small subunit ribosomal RNA", at positions 526 to 896 of the family's 1533-position model. The record is from RNAcentral.